GCCUCAGUGGCGUAGUGGCUAGAGCACGCGUCCCCGCAUAGGAUGAAACGCAGGUUCGAUUCCCGCCUCAGGCC
This is a non-coding RNA of Parelaphostrongylus tenuis, 74 nucleotides long. The record is from the annotation of a GenBank genome assembly. NCBI's taxonomy places the organism in Eukaryota, Metazoa, Nematoda, Chromadorea, Rhabditida, Metastrongylidae.